GACGAACGCUGGCGGUGUGCUUAACACAUGCAAGUCGAACGGUGACUUCGGAGCUUGCUUUGGGCGAUCAGUGGCGAACGGGUGAGUAACACGUGAGUAACUUGCUUUUGGCUCUGGGAUAACCUCGGGAAACCGAGGCUAAUACCGGAUAUGACACAGACAGGCAUCUGUACUGUGUGGAAAGUUUUUUGGCUAGGGAUGGACUCGCGGCCUAUCAGCUUGUUGGUGGGGUAACGGCCCACUAAGGCGACGACGGGUAGCCGGCCUGAGAGGGCGACCGGCCACACUGGGACUGAGACACGGUCCAGACUCCUACGGGAGGCAGCAGUGGGGAAUAUUGCGCAAUGGGCGAAAGCCUGACGUAGCGACGCCGCGUGAGGGAUGAAGGCCUUCGGGUUGUAAACCUCUUUCAGCAGGGAAGAAGCGAAAGUGACGGUACCUGCAGAAGAAGCAUCGGCUAACUAUGUGCCAGCCGCCGCGGUAAGAC
Molecule: ribosomal RNA, 487 nt
Filed under: uncultured bacterium
Lineage: Bacteria
Description: bacterial SSU rRNA
Rfam family: Bacterial small subunit ribosomal RNA
Source: RNAcentral